GUGUCAGCCGCCGCGGUAAGACGAAGGGGGCUAGCGUUGUUCGGAAUUACUGGGCGUAAAGCGCGUGUAGGCGGUUGCCAAAGUCGGGUGUGAAAGCCUUGAGCUUAACUCAAGAAAUGCACUCGAUACUUGGUGACUAGAGGACCGGAGAGGAUAGUGGAAUUCCCAGUGUAGUGGUGAAAUACGUAGAGAUUGGGAAGAACACCAGUGGCGAAGGCGGCUAUCUGGACGGUUUCUGACGCUAAGACGCGAAAGCGUGGGGAGCAAACAGGAUUAGAAACCCCAGUAGUCC
This 292-nucleotide ribosomal RNA is filed under the name uncultured bacterium. RNAcentral describes it as "partial 16S ribosomal RNA". It matches the Rfam family "Bacterial small subunit ribosomal RNA", at positions 505 to 796 of the family's 1533-position model. The record is from RNAcentral.